UACGGAGGGUGCAAGCGUUAAUCGGAAUUACUGGGCGUAAAGCGUGCGCAGGCGGCUUUGCAAGACAGAUGUGAAAUCCCCGGGCUCAACCUGGGAACUGCAUUUGUGACUGCAAGGCUAGAGUACGGCAGAGGGGGAUGGAAUUCCGCGUGUAGCAGUGAAAUGCGUAGAUAUGCGGAGGAACACCGAUGGCGAAGGCAAUCCCCUGGGCCUGUACUGACGCUCAUGCACGAAAGCGUGGGGAGCAAACAGG
Molecule: ribosomal RNA, 253 nt
Filed under: uncultured bacterium
Lineage: Bacteria
Description: partial 16S ribosomal RNA
Rfam family: Bacterial small subunit ribosomal RNA
Source: RNAcentral